This 233-nucleotide ribosomal RNA is filed under the name Paenarthrobacter ureafaciens. Its description in RNAcentral is "partial 16S ribosomal RNA". It matches the Rfam family "Bacterial small subunit ribosomal RNA", at positions 548 to 780 of the family's 1533-position model. Lineage: Bacteria; Bacillati; Actinomycetota; Actinomycetes; Micrococcales; Micrococcaceae. The record is from RNAcentral.
GAAUUAUUGGGCGUAAAGAGCUCGUAGGCGGUUUGUCGCGUCUGCUGUGAAAGACCGGGGCUCAACUCCGGUUCUGCAGUGGGUACGGGCAGACUAGAGUGCAGUAGGGGAGACUGGAAUUCCUGGUGUAGCGGUGAAAUGCGCAGAUAUCAGGAGGAACACCGAUGGCGAAGGCAGGUCUCUGGGCUGUAACUGACGCUGAGGAGCGAAAGCAUGGGGAGCGAACAGGAUUA